RNAcentral lists this ribosomal RNA (255 nucleotides) under uncultured bacterium. Its description in RNAcentral is "partial 16S ribosomal RNA". It matches the Rfam family "Bacterial small subunit ribosomal RNA", at positions 524 to 776 of the family's 1533-position model. The record is from RNAcentral.
UACGUAGGGGGGCGAGCGUUGUCCGGAUUUAUUGGGCGUAAAGAGCUCGUAGGCGGCUUAGCAAGUCGGGUGUGAAAACUCCAGGCUCAACCUGGAGACGCCACUCGAGACUGCUAUGGCUAGAGUCCGGUAGGGGACCACGGAAUUCCUGGUGUAGCGGUGAAAUGCGCAGAUAUCAGGAGGAACACCGAUGGCGAAGGCAGGUCUCUGGGCAUUAACUGACGCUGAGGAGCGAAAGCAUGGGGAGCGAACAGG